This 477-nucleotide ribosomal RNA is filed under the name uncultured bacterium. Its description in RNAcentral is "partial 16S ribosomal RNA". It matches the Rfam family "Bacterial small subunit ribosomal RNA", at positions 28 to 507 of the family's 1533-position model. The record is from RNAcentral.
GAUUAACGCUGGCGGCGUGCAUAACACAUGCAAGUCGAACGAUGAAACUUAAAUGAUUUCUUCGGAAUGAACUUAAGUGGAUUAGUGGCGGACGGGUGAGUAACGCGUGAGUAACCUGCCUUACACAAGGGGAUAGCCGUUGGAAACGACGAAUAAUACCCUAUGAAACUAUCACUUCGCAUGAAGCGAUAGUCAAAGUGUUAGCGGUGUAAGAUGGACUUGCGUCUGAUUAGCUAGUUGGUGAGAAAAAAGCCCACCAAGGCAACGAUCAGUAGCCGGCUUGAGAGAGUGUACGGCAACAUUGGGACUGAGACACGGCCCAGACUCCUACGGGAGGCAGCAGUGGGGAAUUUUGCACAAUGGGGGAAACCCUGAUGCAGCGACGCCGCGUGAUUGAGAAGGCCUUCGGGUUGUAAAAAUCUUUUGUAUAGGAAGAAAAUGACAGUACUAUACGAAUAAGGUCCGGCUAAUUACGUG